RNAcentral lists this long non-coding RNA (594 nucleotides) under Rattus norvegicus (Norway rat). RNAcentral describes it as "long non-coding RNA NONRATT007446". Lineage: Eukaryota; Metazoa; Chordata; Mammalia; Rodentia; Muridae. The record is from RNAcentral.
GUUCCAGGGCCUGCUGUUCUCACCCCAGGCUCUGUGAGGAGGCAGAGGAAGGGACAGCUAAUGCCCUUUUCUGCUUCACGCAUUUCUCUGCUGAGCCAAAGGGUAGCCGUUCCCUCUGCUCAUCGAGUUUCGUUCCCGAUGUGUGCCCUGCCCUUCCUGGGAUUUAGGAAUGGUCACAAGUCGUUCACUUUGCAAUUCUCUUGUUCACAGCAUGGCUCUCCUUACAUGUUUAAGUCCUGGAUUUACUACGAUUCUCCCUUCUGUCUCAGCUCUGGAGUGGGCUUCAUGGUUCCCUGCCUCCUGCUUUGUACUUGGGUGGCCUGGGGGAGGUUGCUACUUCAUAAAUUUUAGGCUCGUUCUGGGCCGCAGGUGGGGCUCGCUUUCCCUCUUGAGGACACUGACGUCAUCUGUACCUUCAGCCUCCACUGCGGCUUCCCGUCACAGCAUCUUAUUUCAUUUCGGGGAGCCAUCCCCCAAAGCAGUCCACAUGGUGAGGUCAGGCUCAGGAGAUGCCGAAGGGAAGUGGAUGGACCUUUUCCACAGCCUGACCACAGUGAAUCAGAGGUUGGCAUCCGAGCCAAUCCCAGCAGAGGA